AACCCGAGAGACGUCGGGCCGUUUCCCCGGUUCGGGGGACAGGGUGACGAGGUGGUGCAUGGUUGUCGUCAGCUCGUGUCGUGAGAUGUUGGGUUAAGUCCCGCAACGAGCGCAACCCUCGACCUUAGUUGCCAGCAUUCAGUUGGGCACUCUAAGGUGACUGCCGGCUAAAGUCGAGAAGUGGGGAUGACGUCAAAUCAUCAUGCCCCUUAUGACCUGGGCUACACACGUGCUACAAUGGGCGGUACAAAGGGUCGCGAACCCGCGAGGGGGAGCCAAUCCCAAAAAGCCGCUCUCAGUUCGGAUUGCAGGCUGCAACUCGCCUGCAUGAAGCCGGAAUCGCUAGUAAUCGCGGAUCAGCAUGCCGCGGUGAAUACGUUCCCGGGCCUU
RNAcentral lists this ribosomal RNA (390 nucleotides) under uncultured Anoxybacillus sp. RNAcentral's name for it is "bacterial SSU rRNA". It matches the Rfam family "Bacterial small subunit ribosomal RNA", at positions 989 to 1382 of the family's 1533-position model. Lineage: Bacteria; Bacillati; Bacillota; Bacilli; Caryophanales; Anoxybacillaceae. The record is from RNAcentral.